This 881-nucleotide long non-coding RNA is filed under the name Trifolium pratense (red clover). RNAcentral describes it as "long non-coding RNA (TPRA_LNC001943)". The record is from RNAcentral. Lineage: Eukaryota; Viridiplantae; Streptophyta; Magnoliopsida; Fabales; Fabaceae.
ACUUACUUACUUAACCCAUUCUCUCUUUUCUUUUUUCUGGCUUUUUCAUUUCUUGUGUGGAUUUUCAGUAAUGAGAUUCAUUAACUGUUUUAUUUUUUGGAAUUAAGUAAUUAUUUUGCUUAUGGAUGUGAUUUUUGAAUUGAGUUGUUUGGUUUUGAUUGAGGAAAUAACUGAUAAGAUAAGAACUUGUUUCUAUGUUUUUAUUUAGUGUUUGAGUUGGUAUCAGUGAGUGGAAAAUGCAAGAGUGAAGUGAAAUAAGAGAAUUAAUCUGUAGUCACCUAGUGUGGUAGUGCGGUAAUUUUGUUUUGCAAAGUGGAUAGAUAGUAGUUUUGUCAUGUUUGGAUAAACAACUUACUUAAGUGUUUAGAGAAUAAGCGCUUUUCUUUUAAGUACUUAUGUAUAGGGCCUGUUUGGAUUGUGUUAUAUUUGAAAUUAUGCAAAACAAAUUAUACAAAUAAAUAAGCUUUUAUGUAUUAUUUAUAUGUUUGUUAAGGUAUUUUAUGAAAUAAUAGCUUAUGAAGAUACAUUUUUUGCUAGUGAGAACUUAUAAAUUAACAUAAAAGCUUAUUAUUUGCAUAAUCCAUUUUUCAUAAGCUCAAAAAUCUAUUUUUAUAGCAAAAGAUAAAAUAAAAUUGGUUUCAUAUAAGCUACAAACUGUUUUCAUAAGCUAUUCUGUAGAGAUUAUGAAAAUAAGCAUAAAACAACUUAUGGAUAUGUCAUAAACCAUUUUCAUGAGGUCUGCCCAAAAUUUGGACAAAUGUUUAUGACAGUAGAUAUGUGCAAAUAAGCCAAUUUAAACAAGCCCUUAGUAGUAGAUACUGGCUUGCUUAUGAGACAACCAUAGCUUCAUGUGCUACAGGUGGUUUAGGGUAAUUUACUAC